This 103-nucleotide non-coding RNA is filed under the name Staphylococcus pettenkoferi. RNAcentral's name for it is "Guanine sequence". It matches the Rfam family "Purine riboswitch aptamer". Rfam says of the family: Riboswitches are metabolite binding domains within certain messenger RNAs that serve as precision sensors for their corresponding targets. Allosteric rearrangement of mRNA structure is mediated by ligand binding, and this results in modulation of gene expression. Lineage: Bacteria; Bacillati; Bacillota; Bacilli; Caryophanales; Staphylococcaceae. The record is from RNAcentral. RNAcentral also lists the same sequence under 1 other name.
AGUAAAUAAUUUUAUUUAACUCAUAUAAUCUAAAGAAUAGGGCUUUAGAAGUUUCUACCAUGUUGCCAUAAACAACAUGACUAUGAGUAGCAAUUCAAUACAU